RNAcentral lists this microRNA precursor (103 nucleotides) under Paramuricea clavata. Lineage: Eukaryota; Metazoa; Cnidaria; Anthozoa; Malacalcyonacea; Plexauridae. The record is from RNAcentral.
GAGCGAGGAAAAAUGGGAGGGGCGAGAAAGAAAUAGCUAUUUCUUUUUCUAUUUCGCUAUUUCUUUCUCGCCCCUUCCAUUUUUCCUCGCUUUCUUUCUCUCG